UACGGAGGAUGCGAGCGUUAUCCGGAUUUAUUGGGUUUAAAGGGUGCGUAGGCGGACUGUCAAGUCAGCGGUAAAAUUGAGAGGCUCAACCUCUUCCCGCCGUUGAAACUGGUGGUCUUGAGUGGAUGAGAAGUACGCGGAAUGCGUGGUGUAGCGGUGAAAUGCAUAGAUAUCACGCAGAACUCCGAUUGCGAAGGCAGCGUACCGGCAUCCAACUGACGCUGAGGCACGAAAGCGUGGGGAUCAAACAAG
RNAcentral lists this ribosomal RNA (252 nucleotides) under uncultured bacterium. Its description in RNAcentral is "partial 16S ribosomal RNA". It matches the Rfam family "Bacterial small subunit ribosomal RNA", at positions 524 to 776 of the family's 1533-position model. The record is from RNAcentral.